Rhodamnia argentea is the source of this 411-nucleotide long non-coding RNA. RefSeq lists it as uncharacterized. The transcript is spliced from 2 exons. NCBI's taxonomy places the organism in Eukaryota, Viridiplantae, Streptophyta, Magnoliopsida, Myrtales, Myrtaceae. The record is from RefSeq and is a predicted model, not a curated record.
AGAGCAUUCGCGGCAAAAUGAACGCGAUGAGAUCCUGCUUCCUACCGGUCAUCGUGGGGUUCGUGUUCUUGACUCUUGUUCAGCUCGGCCAUGGACAGGCUGUGGCUCCGUCGCCCGCGCCGGAAGCUCCUUCCAACAAUGGGGAGGCGAUUGAUCAAGGUAUCGCGUACAUCCUCCUGUUACUUGCCCUUGCGAUGACGUAUCUCUUGCACUAGCUCCUCUUACGUGCGGCGGCGAUUCGGUCGAUCCCAACUGUCCGAGCCGAUUCUUUGGUUGAUUUUCUUCCCUGUGAUGGACCUCCAUUAGGUUGAAUUCGCAGCGGCGUUGUGACCGAUUUUUGGGUGCUCUGGAUGUCCUUGUACCUAAAGUUAUGUCUCUGAGAAAUUAAAUUAUCAAGCCAAUUUUUGCUAA